UCCGUAGGUGAACCUGCGGAAGGAUCAUUAUCGAUUCGUAUUUACCUGCCUCUGGCAGUGCCACUGGUUUUACCAGUAAACAUAUACCUAGUAUAUGAAACAAAAUAAUAAAAAGAAAAUUUUCAACGGUGGAUAUCUAGGUUCCCAUAACGAGGAAGAACGCAGCAAACUGCGAUACGCAAUGCGAAAUGCAGCAUCCGCGAGUCAUCAGAUCUUCGAACGCAAUUGGCGACAAGAGUUAAUCAUUCUUGUCAUGUUUGCUUCAGCGUUAAAAUAUUUAUUAUCUAAAUGUCUUUGCAAAGCAAUUUGCUCAGAUUAAACAAGAAUGAGUCGCACUCUUUCUAAUGCAGUAGGCCGCAAGGCACUCAUUAGCGCUUUGAGUGAGGACUUCUAGAGAUCAAAGUCUUUAAAAAAUAAAUAAAACCUGAAGUAAGCGAGAGUACCCGCUGAACUUAA
RNAcentral lists this ribosomal RNA (456 nucleotides) under uncultured fungus. RNAcentral's name for it is "eukaryotic LSU rRNA". The stretch from base 118 to 271 matches the Rfam family "5.8S ribosomal RNA". The record is from RNAcentral. Lineage: Eukaryota; Fungi.